UUUGAUUUUGAUUUUCAUAAACCAAACACCUACUCUGUAAAUCAGGGGAUUUCUUCAAACAUAUUCAAGAACUGGGAAGCUUGUGCCUCUACACUAUGAAAGCCUCUACACUAUGAAAGGCAAAGAGUCUUUGGGAGGAGUUAGUGGUAAGCCUCGAAAUUCUAAUCUUUUUAAAAUUUUCCUUUGGCAUGAUGCUCCAAACGGGUCUAUAAAUUAUAAAAUCGAACAUUGUAAACUUUGUAGGGUC
RNAcentral lists this unclassified non-coding RNA (247 nucleotides) under Arabidopsis thaliana (thale cress). Lineage: Eukaryota; Viridiplantae; Streptophyta; Magnoliopsida; Brassicales; Brassicaceae. The record is from RNAcentral.